Molecule: ribosomal RNA, 616 nt
Filed under: uncultured bacterium
Lineage: Bacteria
Description: bacterial SSU rRNA
Rfam family: Bacterial small subunit ribosomal RNA
Source: RNAcentral
CCUACGGGAGGCAGCAGUGGGGAAUAUUGCACAAUGGGCGAAAGCCUGAUGCAGCGACGCCGCGUGAGGGAUGACGGCCUUCGGGUUGUAAACCUCUUUCAGCAGGGAAGAAGCGAAAGUGACGGUACCUGCAGAAGAAGCGCCGGCUAACUACGUGCCAGCAGCCGCGGUAAUACGUAGGGCGCAAGCGUUGUCCGGAAUUAUUGGGCGUAAAGAGCUCGUAGGCGGCUUGUCACGUCCGAUGUGAAAGCCCGGGGCUUAACCCCGGGUCUGCAUUCGAUACGGGCUAGCUAGAGUGUGGUAGGGGAGAUCGGAAUUCCUGGUGUAGCGGUGAAAUGCGCAGAUAUCAGGAGGAACACCGGUGGCGAAGGCGGAUCUCUGGGCCAUUACUGACGCUGAGGAGCGAAAGCGUGGGGAGCGAACAGGAUUAGAUACCCUGGUAGUCCACGCCGUAAACGUUGGGAACUAGGUGUUGGCGACAUUCCACGUCGUCGGUGCCGCAGCUAACGCAUUAAGUUCCCCGCCUGGGGAGUACGGCCGCGAGGGCUAAAACCGUCGAAAACGUAAGUAGUAGGACGUUCGUAGAACGUUACGUCGACCGGAGGACCACGACGGG